Capra hircus (goat) is the source of this 1111-nucleotide long non-coding RNA. RefSeq lists it as uncharacterized. The record is from RefSeq and is a predicted model, not a curated record. The transcript is spliced from 4 exons. NCBI's taxonomy places the organism in Eukaryota, Metazoa, Chordata, Mammalia, Artiodactyla, Bovidae.
AUGUCGCCCAAGGUCCUGCCAUCUUUGUCUUCUGGGUCCAGCCUGUCCUCCUCCUCCUUGACCCUUGCACUUCUCCUGCUGACCAUCCAGAGCCUGAUCCUGGCCCAGUGGCCCAGCCAGCUGUUCUCUGGAGACCCCGUGCUCACAACAGUGGCUGUGCUGCUGCUGCUGCUCAUCACUGGAGUCACGGUCAUCAUCUGGAGGCAGCCCCAGGACCCCUCUCCUCUUCCAUUCAGGGCAAGUGAACUUAUGUGUCCAAAGUGUCCUCCUUGGGUGAAUGAGGUCUGUGUCCUUUGAUGGCAAAAUGUCCUUUCCUGGACACGGAAUGAGGGGAGUUACUGAAACCAAUGGACUCUUCCCUGAUCCACCCUCAGGGCUUUGCAUACACAAUCUCAGUAGGCACUGAAUGCACAGCCCGAGGAGGACGGGAGCCUCCCACCCACGUGGGGCAGGGUCCCCCUUAAGACACCUGGGCUGUGUUCAGGGAUGAGCUGCUUCUGCCCACAGGUCCCUGCUCUGCCUGUCCUCCCGCUGGUCAGCAUCUUCAUGAACGUUUACCUGAUGAUGCAGACGACCUCUGAGACCUGGGCCCUGUUUGGAGUCUGGAAUGCCAUUGGGUUUCUCAUAUACUUCGGAUAUGGGAUCCGGUACAGCCUGGCAGGGAACAAUCAUCAACAGCCACCAGCCACCAGCCUCCACCUCCCAGACUCUUGACAUAAACACCCCUGGUGCUGAGUCAUCUUAACCACAGGACGUAGAUGUUGCGUGGAAUCCCUCCAUGCCCUGGCGGAUCUGCUGGUGCAAGGGACACUGUGAGCCUCGGUGGAGUGUGAAGGUGGAGGCAUCUAAAGCCCUGUAUUUCUUGCUAGUGGACAAAGUGACUGGACCAUUGUGCAAUUUUUGGACUACUGGUUCUGGGAGCUCCUGAGUCAACCCUGCUUUACAACAGAGUUUCGGUUCUGAGUUUCAUCAUCGUCUCUGGCUUCAUUAAGGGAGACCUGCGCAACUGGAAGCUCACGGAACAGGACUACACAUUGGACACGUCUGUAUCCAGUGGCACCUCUAGGGGAAGAAGCCCUCAAUCCUCAGCGGUCCAUCCCCGUGAGCACCA